Molecule: ribosomal RNA, 254 nt
Filed under: Vibrio parahaemolyticus
Lineage: Bacteria; Pseudomonadati; Pseudomonadota; Gammaproteobacteria; Vibrionales; Vibrionaceae
Description: partial 23S ribosomal RNA
Rfam family: Bacterial large subunit ribosomal RNA
Source: RNAcentral
CAUGCUGGACGUAUCAGAAGUGCGAAUGCUGACAUGAGUAACGAUAAAGGGGGUGAAAAACCUCCUCGCCGGAAGACCAAGGGUUCCUGUCCAACGUUAAUCGGGGCAGGGUAAGUCGACCCCUAAGGCGAGGCCGAAAGGCGUAGUCGAUGGGAAACGGGUUAAUAUUCCCGUACUUCUUACAAUUGCGAUGGGGGGACGGAGAAGGCUAGGUGGGCCUGGCGACGGUUGUCCAGGUUCAAGUGCGUAGGCUU